Molecule: ribosomal RNA, 301 nt
Filed under: uncultured bacterium
Lineage: Bacteria
Description: partial 16S ribosomal RNA
Rfam family: Archaeal small subunit ribosomal RNA
Source: RNAcentral
CAGUAGCCGCGGUAAAACCAGCAGCCCAAGUGGUGGUCGCGAUUAUUGGGCCUAAAGCGCUCGUAGCCGGGCCGGUAAGUCCCUUGUGAAAUCGGACGGCCUAACCGUUCGGCGUGCAAGGGAUACUGUCGGUCUUGGGGCCGGGAGACGUCCGAGGUACUCCGGGGGUAGCGGUGAAAUGUUCUGAUCCUCGGGGGACCACCGGUGGCGAAGGCGUUCGACGAGAACGGGCCUGACGGUGAGGGGCGAAGGCUAGGGGAGCAAACGGGAUUAGAUACCCCCGUAGUCCCUGUCUCUUAUA